CGGAGCAAGGCACUUGGGCCCCUCUUGCUUACCUACGACCGCGUCUCCCCAGCCCUCUCCUUCUCCGCCCGCAAGAGGAGGGUACGCCGCCCCUGCGGAGGGGUAUGCCGCCUUCCCACGGGUGACCUCGCAUCUGCCCCUGAUACAUCUUAGGAAACAGGACGGGGAAGAAUGGGCGUUUUGUGGGCAAGGAUGAGUCAUUUCAUCGGAGGUGAGAGAAAUACACAGUUCCUCUAACAAGUGGUCUUAAAAGGACAGCCCAAGAGGUGCUGCACAGUGAUUUUUAGCUUCCUAGAAGAAGUAGAUGUGGGUAACAGUCCUCAGAAGUAUCCUUGACCUGCAGGAGCAUUGAGGAGGGAAACAGCAGGACUUUUGAAACAAGAGGCACCUGCCCCCAUGAAGGUUUUUUGGUUGUACCACUCCCAACAAUGGAGAUGGACACUGCUUCAGAGCAAUUAGUGGUAGAAGUGCUUAGGUAAG
This is a long non-coding RNA of Mustela lutreola (European mink), 480 nucleotides long. RefSeq lists it as uncharacterized. The transcript has 3 exons. NCBI's taxonomy places the organism in Eukaryota, Metazoa, Chordata, Mammalia, Carnivora, Mustelidae. The record is from RefSeq and is a predicted model, not a curated record.